This 439-nucleotide long non-coding RNA is filed under the name Nicotiana benthamiana. Its description in RNAcentral is "long non-coding RNA (NBEN_LNC022516)". The record is from RNAcentral. Lineage: Eukaryota; Viridiplantae; Streptophyta; Magnoliopsida; Solanales; Solanaceae.
GGUGAAACUCAACCUUUUCGACUUUAUUCAGCCUUUGUAGACCUUUCCUUUCUGACAUUCUUUCUUUUUCACUUUUUUUUUGUUUUUUUUAGAUUCUUCUUUUUUCUUUCCCUAUAAUUUAAUUGAAGCCGCAACCCUAUCCAUUUAUUCAUUCGACCCAAUUUUAUUUUGUUCCGUUCCAAGAAUUCUAACAUGGUUUUAUACCCAUUUAGGAACAAUGAAAUAUUCUCAGAACUUUCCGUGGAUGCGACAUGCUAUUUUUACCAUUCAUUCCCUUUCAGGAUCAGUCGUGGUCUUCCAAACUUUACCGUGGAGUAGUGUGACUAUGUUACUAUUGACAGAUUUCAAUGCCAUAAGACGUAUCAAUAGUUUUCUAUUAUGGUCUUCCAAACUUUACCGAGAGUAUGGACGAAUCGCUCACUUCAUCCAUAUGUGUAAA